Long non-coding RNA from Gossypium raimondii (Peruvian cotton), 566 nucleotides. RefSeq lists it as uncharacterized. The transcript has 2 exons. Lineage: Eukaryota; Viridiplantae; Streptophyta; Magnoliopsida; Malvales; Malvaceae. The record is from RefSeq and is a predicted model, not a curated record.
UCAAAAAUAAACCAUUGAAUGGAAAUGCGCGGAUCCUUCCCUCGGGUCGGGUCACCGCAUAGAUCUUGGCUUCAAACGGCGCCGUUUUGAGACCAUCAAAUUGGCAUAAAACGACGUCGUUUAUUACUACACCUAUAGACCAAAAAUAACCCUAAAACUAGUAGCCAUUUCAUUUUAAAAAAACAAAACAAAAAAAACCUAAACUAAAACACUCUCCUCUGCGCCGCUCCGCCGUUUGCUCUCCAGGCCCUCCGAUCCCCUCUCAACUUCGAUGACAACGGAGAGAAAAAGGAUGCGGUCACCAGAUGAGGAGCCAGCCUGGCGCUGAGGUGCACGUGUGGCGCAGAUGCAGUGCAUUGCGGGGCGGUUGGAGGCGCGCGGAUGUGCUAGAGUUGCUGACUGCUGUGGCGUCAGAAGAAUCUAGAAACCCUAAAGGUUUCUGGAAAUAUUUCGGCCAGUAUAGCUGGGUCUUGUCUAAGUUUAAUGUUCGGACUAGUGUAAUGGGUCAGAUGUAAAUGGACCUUAAAAUGGACUUUUAAUUGGAUUCUAUUAUUUUUUAUUUUUUA